This 465-nucleotide ribosomal RNA is filed under the name Vreelandella stevensii. Its description in RNAcentral is "partial 16S ribosomal RNA". It matches the Rfam family "Bacterial small subunit ribosomal RNA", at positions 338 to 795 of the family's 1533-position model. Lineage: Bacteria; Pseudomonadati; Pseudomonadota; Gammaproteobacteria; Oceanospirillales; Halomonadaceae. The record is from RNAcentral.
CCUACGGGGGGCUGCAGUGGGGAAUAUUGGACAAUGGGGGCAACCCUGAUCCAGCCAUGCCGCGUGUGUGAAGAAGGCCCUCGGGUUGUAAAGCACUUUCAGUGAGGAAGAACGCCUGGUGGUUAAUACCCAUCAGGAAAGACAUCACUCACAGAAGAAGCACCGGCUAACUCCGUGCCAGCAGCCGCGGUAAUACGGAGGGUGCGAGCGUUAAUCGGAAUUACUGGGCGUAAAGCGCGCGUAGGUGGCUUGAUAAGCCGGUUGUGAAAGCCCCGGGCUCAACCUGGGAACGGCAUCCGGAACUGUCAAGCUAGAGUACAGGAGAGGAAGGUAGAAUUCCCGGUGUAGCGGUGAAAUGCGUAGAGAUCGGGAGGAAUACCAGUGGCGAAGGCGGCCUUCUGGACUGACACUGACACUGAGGUGCGAAAGCGUGGGUAGCAAACAGGAUUAGAUACCCGAGUAGUC